GAUAUCUUGUUGCCUCUGAUGCAGUUUCUUUUACGCGCAUCAAAUCUGGCUUGAGAUGGGGUUUCUUUUGCGCUGCAGAAACUGCAUCAGAGGCAACAAGAUAUCGAGUCUGUGGAACCCCCUGGAAGCCUCGACAACGAAUCUUGCCCAUGUUUUGUCGGAUCGGGUCUCAAGUACACCCUUCAGGAUGGUCAAUUCCAAGCCACGGAUCACUUGGGCGAUCUCUAAGAAGAGACAUUGCUCAUCACAAAGCAUCAAAAUGAGCAUAUGUCCUGGAUAAGCAAGAUCUUCCACUAGAAUAGGGCACAUUUGGAACUCAAGUCCAAAUUCAUAAGCACAGCUUGUUCCAUUUUGGCAAUUCUCCUUGGCUUCGUAAUACCUCCAAUUCUUGAUACCAGGAUGCUGUGAAACAUUUAAGUUUCAA
RNAcentral lists this unclassified non-coding RNA (424 nucleotides) under Hevea brasiliensis (rubber tree). Lineage: Eukaryota; Viridiplantae; Streptophyta; Magnoliopsida; Malpighiales; Euphorbiaceae. The record is from RNAcentral.